UACGAAGGGGCCGAGCGUUGUCCGGAAUUACUGGGCGUAAAGCGCGCGCAGGCGGCUCUUCAAGCCUGACGUGAAAGCCCCCGGCUCAACCGGGGAGGGUCGUCGGGGACUGAGGAGCUUGAGGGUGGUAGGGGCGGGUGGAAUUCUCGGUGUAGUGGUGAAAUGCGUAGAGAUCGAGAGGAACACCAGUGGCGAAGGCGGCCGGCUGGGCAGACCCUGACGCUGAGGCGCGAAGGCGUGGGGAGCGAACGGG
This 253-nucleotide ribosomal RNA is filed under the name uncultured bacterium. Its description in RNAcentral is "partial 16S ribosomal RNA". It matches the Rfam family "Bacterial small subunit ribosomal RNA", at positions 524 to 776 of the family's 1533-position model. The record is from RNAcentral.